This 432-nucleotide ribosomal RNA is filed under the name uncultured bacterium. RNAcentral's name for it is "partial 16S ribosomal RNA". It matches the Rfam family "Bacterial small subunit ribosomal RNA", at positions 29 to 507 of the family's 1533-position model. The record is from RNAcentral.
ACGAACGCUGGCGGCAGGCCUAACACAUGCAAGUCGAGCGCGCCCUUCGGGGUGAGCGGCGGACGGGUGGGUAACGCGUGGGAACGUGCCCUUUUCUACGGAAUAGCCUCGGGAAACUGAGAGUAAUACCGUAUACGCCCUUUGGGGGAAAGAUUUAUCGGAAAAGGAUCGGCCCGCGUUGGAUUAGGUAGUUGGUGGGGUAAUGGCCUACCAAGCCGACGAUCCAUAGCUGGUUUGAGAGGAUGAUCAGCCACACUGGGACUGAGACACGGCCCAGACUCCUACGGGAGGCAGCAGUGGGGAAUCUUAGACAAUGGGGGCAACCCUGAUCUAGCCAUGCCGCGUGAGUGAUGAAGGCCUUAGGGUUGUAAAGCUCUUUCAGCUGGGAAGAUAAUGACGGUACCAGCAGAAGAAGCCCCGGCUAACUCCGUG